ACUACAUCUAGUUCAUCAAUCAACUAGAAAAAUAAAAGCAGCUGCAACAUCUCUAAUUAGCUAAAAGAAAGGCUCCUAGUUCGCCAUCAAUCAAUUGGAAAAUAAAAAAAGCAUCACCAUAGACUUUCAUAGAUAGACAUCAGCAUCAUCAUAGAAGGUUGGGACAAACUUGCAUAAGUAGACAGUAGCAAUAACCUAAAACUUGCACAUAGUCUUUGAACAGAAGAAGCACGCGGCAAUAUAAAGCCUGAAAAUAUGCAUAUAGAAGAAAAGAACAAGCCCAAGCCAUGUUGCCGCCUCC
RNAcentral lists this long non-coding RNA (301 nucleotides) under Hordeum vulgare. Its description in RNAcentral is "long non-coding RNA (HVUL_LNC004779)". Lineage: Eukaryota; Viridiplantae; Streptophyta; Magnoliopsida; Poales; Poaceae. The record is from RNAcentral.